GCGUUUCAUUAAGUAACCAGCGACAUUUAUUGGGCUUAGUUGAGUUUGGUCUUUACGCUUUACUCAAGUGACCGAGCCCAAUAUUGAGUAACCUUUAUCUCCUCUACCGUGUCUGAUCGAAAUUUAGGGUUCUUCUAUUGGUGGAUUCGAUUACGCCGGUCGAGAUUCUUCUUCAUUAGUCGAAAAAAUGCUUCUGUUUCAUCCCAUUUAACCUCUUCUUAACUCGAACAACCACUAUAUAGCCAUCAAUGUGAAGUUCUGUCUUGCGAGUCUGGUUUUCCUCCUCUGAAAACCAUCACCUCAAUCCCUCAAAACCAACCAUUAAAUUUAUUUUCUGAGAACUGGCUAGCGCAUCAAUUUUCCUUUCUGAUUUGAAGACCGGACGAUGCUCCUCCACCGUUGAAUUGCGGUUGAUCCGUUUCUGGGAGGCCAGGAACGUCUUGAGGCGGUGGCGAACUCAGGGGAGUGGAUAAGCUCAUACUGGAUUCACAGGUUGUUAUGUAUCAUAGCUUGCGUUCAUAAUUUUAAUUUUUUUUUCCGGCGUGUUAAAUCCGCCUUAUCAAGUUUUUCUAUUUAGAUAUUUGUUUGACGUUUUAUAAAUGAGGAAUAUUUAGUCCGUGCGUUGAUUGUUCUGUCAUAUUUUUUUUAAUGUUUCUGUCAUGUUGAAUCCUUAUUACCAAGUUUACUGUUUAGAUUUUUGUUUGACAUAUUUUGAAUAAGGCAAUUUAAAACCGUUUGUUGAUUGUUCUGUAUAUUCAUGUGGGUUUGAGGCAACCAUUGCUGCGACUUGCUUGCUUGGAAAGCCUGCAAUGAUAAUCAUGACAUACCAGAAGAUGUAGAUAUACCAUUGUAUAUCGAACCUUCAACUUGAUCACUUUUUGACGGUUGUAACAACUAUAAACGCAAGACGGGUCAAAGCAGAGAUUAUAUGCACACUCAUCAUGAAGUACGCAGAGAAUUGGUUGCCACUAAUCGAAGAUGAUUUGGAAAUAAUACGAGGUUACAGGUCAGGAAACAUUGAGUUGCAGCUCAGUGUUGAACGAGAGAGAACGGAGGAAGGAAGUUUAGGAUGUUAAGAACAAAAGUGAAUCAUAGAAAGCUUAGUAAGUGUGCUUCAUACACAACCUGGAACAGUACCAUGCCAGUUUCUGUUGAGGUUACUGAAUCAACUUUAUAAAUGUAGAAAUGAUCAUUUUUUAAUGCAAACGAUGAAUGUAAAGCUAUGGUUACUGCAGCUAUGCUCGCAUAUUUCGAUGGUGACUAACGGCGAAGCGCAGCAGAGGAUCUUAUAUACCAAAUAAGUCAAUAAGAAGAUGGCACAAAGAGAAAAAAGAAAGUAAUGAUCAAGAAAACAAUUACCAAAAAGUCUCUAAAAGCUUCUGGACAUCUGAUUUAUCUGGGAAUGCUUCUAAGGAUCUGCUGCUAAUGCAUAAAUCGGUGCAAAUACUGUCAGAUUUGUGAUAAGUCUUAUGAAGCUAAACAGAGGCGUGAAGACAUGAAGACAUCCUGUUAAUUUCAAUGAUACACGUACAUUAUAAACCGAUGUCGAAAUAUAUUGAAAUUUUUUGUAAUGCUCAGGUUUAAUUAUUAAAAUAUGAUAUUUUUACUAAUUAGAGUUACAUUUCUC
Brassica napus (rape) is the source of this 1627-nucleotide long non-coding RNA. RefSeq lists it as uncharacterized. The transcript is spliced from 3 exons. Lineage: Eukaryota; Viridiplantae; Streptophyta; Magnoliopsida; Brassicales; Brassicaceae. The record is from RefSeq and is a predicted model, not a curated record.